RNAcentral lists this non-coding RNA (18 nucleotides) under Arabidopsis thaliana (thale cress). The record is from RNAcentral. Lineage: Eukaryota; Viridiplantae; Streptophyta; Magnoliopsida; Brassicales; Brassicaceae.
UCACAUGUUAGGUGUAGC